Molecule: long non-coding RNA, 590 nt
Organism: Cucumis sativus (cucumber)
Lineage: Eukaryota; Viridiplantae; Streptophyta; Magnoliopsida; Cucurbitales; Cucurbitaceae
Exons: 2
Source: RefSeq, a predicted model, not a curated record
UGGAGCUCCGACCCAUCUCCGCCAUUCUCCCCCGCCGCCGGCCGCCACAAGGCUAUCCCAAACACUAUCAUCCAACACAAUGAUUUGAAGCUCGUGCCGCCGCCUGCUGCCAUCCUAAAACAAAGGUGCUUUGUCAGCUUUGAUGAAGAGUGGUUGACAACCAAAUUGGGCUUCUUUGGGAAUUUUCAUUUUGAGAUUGAGACUUGCUAUAUUAUGUUAUUCCAAAAUACCCCUGUUUUUAAAAUCAUUUUAAAUGAUGUUUAUUUUCAUUCUCCUUUCUUUUUAUGGGUGAAUUUAAUUUUUUUCAAUGCCAAAAUUCAAGAGAACAAGCUUUCACUGUGGGGUCGAAUCAUGAUUUUCUUUCAUUUUUGUUUGAUAAAUUCAAAAUCUCAUCAAGUUUCAUUGGCCUUUAUCCACUUUAAUAUAGUUGAUAGAAGAAAAAACGGCAGUGUUUACAGAAAUUUCUCUGUGUUUUAAUUGUGUUGAUUGCUAUUAUUUUUUUGUUGGAUUACAAAAGUGGUAAAACUAGAAAUGUUCUACAAUCCAUUGUGGAGUCAAAUCAUGAAUUUCAUCUAUUAUUUGCACAUAAA